Rhodamnia argentea is the source of this 134-nucleotide long non-coding RNA. RefSeq lists it as uncharacterized. NCBI's taxonomy places the organism in Eukaryota, Viridiplantae, Streptophyta, Magnoliopsida, Myrtales, Myrtaceae. The transcript is spliced from 2 exons. The record is from RefSeq and is a predicted model, not a curated record.
UAUAGCAAAAGCAAGAUUGGGAGGAAAAAAAGAACAAAAAAGAAAAGAGAGUCAGGGAUUUUACUAUGUAAAAUUGAGUUAGUUGAGAACCAAUCAAUAGAAAAGUUUAAGUAAGAGUUAGUUCAUUUCAGGGA